RNAcentral lists this long non-coding RNA (266 nucleotides) under Olea europaea (common olive). RNAcentral describes it as "long non-coding RNA (OEUR_LNC004565)". Lineage: Eukaryota; Viridiplantae; Streptophyta; Magnoliopsida; Lamiales; Oleaceae. The record is from RNAcentral.
UUCAUUCAAGGUAGUUUAACACCUUCUAUAUUUUUUCCUUUAUACAAAUUUUACCUUUUCUAACAUCUCGCUUCCAGUCUCACCUUCAUUGGCAUCAAUUGAUCAUGUUGCAGUGAUUUCUACUCAACUUUUUCAUCACCAAACUUGGAAGGUAGUAUCAGAUUUAUUUGUGUAAAACGGGAUUCAUAUGUUGAUUCCGCACUUGAUUUGAUUGGAUUUCAACACGACCUCCAUCUUAGAUUUUGUCCUACUUAAUCUCCAUUUUN